ACUCCUACGGGAGGCAGCAGUGGGGAAUAUUGGACAAUGGGGGCAACCCUGAUCCAGCAAUGCCGCGUGAGUGAUGAAGGCCUUCGGGUUGUAAAGCUCUUUUGGCGGGGACGAUGAUGACGGUACCCGCAGAAUAAGCCCCGGCUAACUUCGUGCCAGCAGCCGCGGUAAUACGAAGGGGGCUAGCGUUGUUCGGAAUUACUGGGCGUAAAGGGCGCGUAGGCGGUCCUGAUCGUCGGAUGUGAAAGGCCUGGGCUCAACCUCGGAAUUGCCUUCGAUACUGGACAUCUUGAGUUCGGGAGAGGUGAGUGGAAUGCCGAGUGUAGAGGUGAAAUUCGUAGAUAUUCGGCGGAACACCAGUGGCGAAGGCGACUCACUGGCCCGAUACUGACGCUGAGGCGCGAAAGCGUGGGGAGCAAACAGGAUUAGAUACCCUGGUAGUCCACGCUGUAAACGAUGAGUGCUAGUUGUCGGCAUGCAUGCAUGUCGGUGACGCAGCUAACGCAUUAAGCACUCCGCCUGGGGAGUACGGUCGCAAGAUUAAAACUCAAAGGAAUUGACG
RNAcentral lists this ribosomal RNA (562 nucleotides) under uncultured Alphaproteobacteria bacterium. RNAcentral describes it as "bacterial SSU rRNA". It matches the Rfam family "Bacterial small subunit ribosomal RNA", at positions 335 to 915 of the family's 1533-position model. Lineage: Bacteria; Pseudomonadati; Pseudomonadota; Alphaproteobacteria. The record is from RNAcentral.